AAAAAUGUCAUCCAAGAAUUUGAAUAUAGACAAUAGAUUAGUCACAGCCAAAACCAGAAAAGCCCAUGAUCAAUGUGGCCACACUACCUAAUACAGCCUCAAAUUUCAAUUGCCCCGAAUGAUAGUUGAGCAAGGCAUGUCACAAAACCAACUUCCCCCGUAAGCAGCACCUUGAUUGUCGCCUUCCUAAACCUUCUAGAAGGAGCUAAAAUUACAUUAUCUUGCAAGAACAUGUUCUUUCAUUCCCACUCUCAAACUCAUCAUCUGAUUCACCAUCAUCGCUAGGCUCAAAUUCCCGUAUCUCAAAAAGUUCUCCUCCGGUUGUGUCGGUCCACUGCACUUUCCUUUUCUCCACAGGAUUGGGGGCAUCAUCAACCUUUUCAGAAAUUGUAUCACGUUCAUUACCACCAGAAAUGGAAACACUAUUUACUGGUUUUUUUAGGCUACUCUUAAGAGCAAGCUUUGGUGAAAUAUAACUGUCCUCAACAAUAUUAACACAUUGCGGCUGAUCGCUGCCCUUGUCUGAAGCGGGACAGCUGGGCAACACUUCUGGCUGUUGGGUAGGACCAACUUUAAGGGGAGAUGGGCUCUCAGGUCCAGCGGCAGCGCGACCAAAGCAUACAAAGGAGCCGCACCCGCGGACAAGCCUGUUCUUCCCGGAAGCCAGCUGGAGAUCAGAAUCAGUUUCUUGGUCCACCAACUGGUACUGGUUCCACGGUGCAACUCUCAUGGGCUUCUCUUCGUUCUUCUGACCCAAGAGUAGAAGGGUCAGACCCUUACUAUAUCCAGAAGCUGAAGACGAGAAGAAACCUCCUCCUUCUACUGCAAAUAACAUCAGUUCUGCUCAUCUGGUCGACAUGCAAAUGCUUUUGUCUAGAGCUACUUUGACCUUUAGGGGGAACUUCAAGCACAGAUCUGAGAGCGAAUUCAAGGCAACGACAAGUUCACCGGACCGGCGAAUGCAUCGGCGAUCACUAGUGAUAGAUUGUGUAAAACAGUACGGGGAUAGGAGAACGUCGGAAUCGUGUGGUUGAGCAGAAAAUCGCCG
This 1048-nucleotide unclassified non-coding RNA is filed under the name Hevea brasiliensis (rubber tree). The record is from RNAcentral. Lineage: Eukaryota; Viridiplantae; Streptophyta; Magnoliopsida; Malpighiales; Euphorbiaceae.